This 67-nucleotide small nucleolar RNA is filed under the name Oesophagostomum dentatum (nodular worm). Its description in RNAcentral is "Nematode snoRNA ceN114". It matches the Rfam family "Nematode snoRNA ceN114". Lineage: Eukaryota; Metazoa; Nematoda; Chromadorea; Rhabditida; Strongylidae. The record is from Rfam by way of RNAcentral.
GCGCGGUGAUGAACAAUGAACUCUCUCACUGAAUCUUUAUGUGGCUUACCUACAUUAUCAGAGCGCG